Calidris pugnax (ruff) is the source of this 4128-nucleotide RNA transcript. It is a transcript of the gene named ankyrin repeat and SOCS box containing 14, with no coding region annotated. NCBI's taxonomy places the organism in Eukaryota, Metazoa, Chordata, Aves, Charadriiformes, Scolopacidae. The record is from RefSeq and is a predicted model, not a curated record. The transcript is spliced from 14 exons.
CAGAGAUCAUUUUCAGUCCUGAAAAUAUCACUUUCAACUUAAGAAUCACUUCUUCAAAGUGUGAUGUCUUCCCUCUUUCAGAAGAUUUAACCUGAAGAUUUAACAUCUGCUUCCAAUUAAAAAACAGUGUUUCCCUACAAAAGGUGAUCCAAGUUGUGCUGAUUUGGCAUGUAUAAUUCUACAUACAUGUUUGAUGAUGAUUCUGAUGAUGAAAUCCCUACACAACACGCUAUUCAGGAAAGCUUACAAGAUAGGCAUAAAAUUGAAACAAGUGGCAGUGUGACAGAGGAUGAAAGUUUCCAGUAUUUUGCAAGUGAAGAACAUGAAAAGAUAAUUGCAGCAAUUCGGACAGGCCAAGAAGAGGCCUUGAUGAAGUUGGUGAAGCACAGUUCUGCUUUUGAAGAAGUGGAUCAGCAAGGCUGGCUUCCUGUGCACGAAGCUGCAGCACAGCUAAAUACGAACAUCCUUGAAAUAACUUUGAAAGCCUCCCGUGCUGUUACGUGGGAACAGACCACUCUAAAAGGGGAAACACCUCUCUUGGUGGCAGUAAGAAAUUGCUUUGUAGACAACGUCCGCGUUCUCCUGCUCAAUGGCUGUGAUCCCAAUGUUAAGAAUGAAGAGGGAGAUUCUCCUUUAGUUAUAGCAACUAAACAUGAUUCAUAUGAGAUUGCCUCCUUGUUGAUAAGUUCUGGUGCAAAAGUGAAUUUGCAGUGUGUCCACAAGAGGACUGCUUUACAUGAGGCAGCCAAACUAGGCAGGAAGAGCCUGGUGAAGCUUCUCCUUCGUUCUGGAGCAGAUCCUGACCCUCGCAGUGGGUAUGGGCUCACACCUCUAGCACUGGCUGCACAGGCUGGGCAUACAGAAAUUAUGGAGCUCUUACUGCAAAAAGGUGCGGAUGUUCUUUCACAGGCAAAGGAUUGUGCUUCUGUAUUAUUUGAAGCUGCAGGAGGAGGAAACCCAGAAUCUCUGAGUCUUUUACUAGAAUAUGGGGCUGAUGCCAAUGUGCCAAAGCACUCGGGUCAUUUGCCAAUCCACAGAGCUGCGUAUAGAGGACACUUUCUAGCCCUAAAAAAUUUAGUUCCAGUUACUAAUUUUGAUGCCAUUAAAGAAAGUGGGAUAAGUCCAGUUCACUCAGCAGCAGCAGGAGCACAUCCUCAGUGCCUUGAGUUUCUCCUCAAAUCUGGGUUUGAUGCCAAUUUCAUGCUGGAUCAAAGAGUUCGCAAAGGCUACGAUGAUCACCGGAAAUCAGCGUUGUACUUUGCUGUUUCCAAUGGGGAUAUCUGUUCAACGCAGUUGCUGUUGAAUGCUGGAGCCCUGCCAAACCAAGAUCCCAUCAACUGUCUCCAAAUAGCCCUGAGGAUGGGCAACUAUGAGUUAAUGAAUCUACUGCUCCGACAUGGCGCUAAUGUCAAUUACUUCUGCAGAGUGAAUACAACGCAUUUUCCAUCAGCUCUACAGUAUGCUCUGAAAGAUGAAGUCACGUUAAGAAUGCUGAUGAACUAUGGGUAUGAUGUGCACCGCUGCUUUGAUUGCCCUCAGGGAAACAGUUCACAUUCCCAGUAUGUGACUGAUGGAUGGACCUCUACCGUGAUCAAAGAUACAAUGUUCUGUGAAGUGAUAACCUUGUCAUGGUUGAAGCAUCUGUCUGGGAAAGUGGUGAGAGUAAUGUUAGAUUAUGUCGAUCACGUUAAUAUCUGCUGGAAGUUAGAAGCUGUUCUCAAAGAACAGGAGCUCUGGCCAGACAUCAAUUCCAUUUUAACAAAUCCUCGCUCUCUGAAGCAUCUUUGCCGCCUGAAAAUACGGGAAUGCAUGGGCCGGUUACGUCUCCGUUGCCCUGUCUUCAUGACCUUCCUUCCACUGCCCAACUGCUUGAAAGACUACAUACUGUACAAGGAAUAUGAUCUUUAUGGACAGGAAAACUUCACCGGAACAUACAACCUCAGCUGUACAUAACUAUUAGUUCUAUGUUUUGAAGGGAAUGUUGACGUGGAUAAGACUGUCUUACACAGCAGCUUGUUUUCUUUUGGGAUUUUAUCUCCUAUGUACAUUAAGGAAUACCAUCAUCCCCCCCACCCAAAGAAAAUGGGGAGAACCCCAAAAUAUUUUGAGCCUCCAGAUUCACCAAAAGGAUUUGUGCGUCUAUUAAAAAAUGAAAACAUUAAACCAGGAGUCAGAUUACAAGAACCACUGAUGAACAACGUAGUAGUCUCAUGCUGCAUCAACUGAGAACAUAUUUUGCUUGACCAGGCAGAUCCUCACUAACUGGAGAAAUUAUGUCAAAUUGUAUCGGAGUGUCAGGGGCAACAAGCGAAUCCAAGGAAAGUGCCGAUAAAGCUGCAGAUUCAGAUCCCAGUGACCCUGUGCUGCUGGUACGAGCUGCGGGGGGACGAGAUUGUCUGAAACAAAACAAGAAAUGAAAAUGAAGGAGCUGGACACCUUAAGUAAAAGCUCAUGAUUUCAUACAACAAACCAGACAGAUGAUGCAGCCAACAGAUCUGUCUCGUCAGCUGGAAAUCUGCAUGACCUGUACCAACAGGAGCUUGACGACGCUCAAAAGAAAUGAUACAUGUCGUGUGCCAGAGAAUCUUAAAGAUACCACAGCUGAGCCUCACUCCUCCCGUCAGCCUCUCUCCAGGUUAACACAUUUUCAGAAAGGAAAGGACCAAAGGAGAUGAGUAAGUUUAUAAAAAAGUUGGAACUGUAGGCAACUACUGGACCCACCACGGUACAUCCCUAAGGAAAAGGGUAAAGAUGGCUGGUAUUCAGUAGUGUGCCAGCUACACACAUCUCUUCUGCAGUGGGAUCAAAACACUGGCUGUGGCUUUGUGAUACCACCCAUCCUGCACAGAGACAGCUGCUGGCUGUGCUUGGAGCUGCACCUCUGCAGUAACAGUCAAUUCUGUCAUCAAAAGACUGAGGAACUUAAAGCCAAGCCAAACCGAAACAGUAAAACCAUCAUCUUGUUGUUUUUAAGAUACAUGAUCUUAAGAUACUCCCCUCACCAUCCACAGUUAAAGGGAAUGAAAAGAUCUGUCUUUUUUUUUUGUCCUUACCCCAGCUUGUCACUCAGGCUGUUCCUCAGCUGCUGUCACCCAAUGCCUGCUGACUAUGCAUCCCAUUGCACUGUCUGCAUCACUGAUGAGGGUGCUUAACAGUAUCCACCUCAAAAUCAACUUCCUCAUCACUGUCCACCUAUUAGACUUCAAAACACUGAUCAGCACCUUUUAAGCCCAAUUAUCCAGCCAGUUCUACUACCCAGGCUGCAGUCUGUACCUCUCCAUUUUGGCCAGAAGAAUGUUACUGGAGACCAUGUCAGAACCCUUGCUUAAGUCAAGGUAAAUGACAUCCACUGCUCUUCCCGGGGAUGAAAUGACUGACUCUGAACGAGAAGUCAAUCAGGUUGCUCAGGCAUAAUUUGCCCUUAAGCUUAAAUGAGAUGCUGACUCAGUGUUCUUGCAUCCUUUUUGCACUUGGAAGCGACGUUACUUCUCACCACAAGGAUAUCGAAUAGCUUGCUUCCACCAAGACAAAAACCCAGGAGGGGGAAGAGCAGAGAAGGUACCUAUAACUCUGCAUAGGCUACAUCUGCUUUUCCUCAUCUGAAAUACUGUUUGGGAAGCUUGGAUGCAGAAACAGGAGUAUUGCUUGCAAGACCCACAAAGUAAACCCUUCAAAUCUAGUAAUGUUUUAGCAAGAGGACUGUGCUUUGGUUUUGGAUUUACUCUAAAUUCAAUGUCCAGAGAGAAAUUGAAAGAAUCAUAAGAGUGUAACUGUUUGGAAAUUCUCUUUCUUAGUCUUCCUUAGGCUAAAUAACUGUAGUUUCCUCAAAGGGGAAGGGAAGGAAGUUAUGGGUCCCGGGAAAAGAAUGAAAGACUGACACAAGAAACCAAGAAACCUGGACAUCAGGAAAACUUUUCUGAUGAGAUUAAUGAAAAGCACUGGAUCGCUCAGCAUAUGAAUUGUGGGGGGUUUAUUAUUAGAAGAUCUUGCUAUGUUGAAGACUUGUCUUGAAAUGAUGUAGAUUUUGGUCUGUCUCCCCCUUGAAGCAUGGAGGUCUUUCUCAGCUACUUUUGUAAUUUUCUGCUUUUAAUGAUAAUCGAGGAGUACGUAUUAAACCUGCAUAGCUGA